Molecule: unclassified non-coding RNA, 407 nt
Filed under: Hevea brasiliensis (rubber tree)
Lineage: Eukaryota; Viridiplantae; Streptophyta; Magnoliopsida; Malpighiales; Euphorbiaceae
Source: RNAcentral
AAAUAAAUAAAUAAAAAACCAACCCAUCACACUUCCAUCUUGACCCCUCAACAAUCACAGGAUUUCCAAACCAUGUGCACAUAUCCUCCUUCAUAGUGCCUCAUCAACACGCAGCUCCUCUCAGUCCCACACUCCCUCACUAACUAGACUCAUUUCCCUUCGCCUCUAUAAUUGAAGAACCCAGCUCGCUCUUCCCUUACUAGCUUUUCCUUCCCUUCUAAUUUUGACUUUCUUCAUAUUUUUUCUCAAUUCUACAAAAACAAACCUCGCCUUGUGUUCGAUUCUCUUAAUGCUUUGCCUUUCCUUUGGACCCUAGCCUCGCCGUUAUAGCACUCAAAGCCUAGCAGUAUCAUUGCCAUUUGAAGCCUUGAAGCAGCCUCUUGCUCAUGAUUUCAAUGAGGGUAUGG